CCUACGGGGGGCUGCAGUGAGGAAUAUUGGUCAAUGGACGAGAGUCUGAACCAGCCAAGUAGCGUGAAGGAUGACUGCCCUAUGGGUUGUAAACUUCUUUUAUAUGGGAAUAAAACGUUCCACGUGUGGGAUUUUGUAUGUACCAUAUGAAUAAGGAUCGGCUAACUCCGUGCCAGCAGCCGCGGUAAUACGGAGGAUCCGAGCGUUAUCCGGAUUUAUUGGGUUUAAAGGGAGCGUAGGUGGAUUGUUAAGUCAGUUGUGAAAGUUUGCGGCUCAACCGUAAAAUUGCAGUUGAAACUGGCAGUCUUGAGUACAGUAGAGGUGAGCGGAAUUCGUGGUGUAGCGGUGAAAUGCUUAGAUAUCACGAAGAACUCCGAUUGCGAAGGCAGUUCACUGGACUGCAACUGACACUGAGGCUCGAAAGUGUGGGUAUCAAACAGGAUUAGAUACCCCAGUAGUC
This 460-nucleotide ribosomal RNA is filed under the name uncultured bacterium. RNAcentral's name for it is "partial 16S ribosomal RNA". It matches the Rfam family "Bacterial small subunit ribosomal RNA", at positions 338 to 795 of the family's 1533-position model. The record is from RNAcentral.